Molecule: ribosomal RNA, 230 nt
Filed under: uncultured bacterium
Lineage: Bacteria
Description: partial 16S ribosomal RNA
Rfam family: Bacterial small subunit ribosomal RNA
Source: RNAcentral
UACGUAGGGUGCAAGCGUUAAUCGGAAUUACUGGGCGUAAAGCGUGCGCAGGCGGUUAUGUAAGACAGUUGUGAAAUCCCCGGGCUCAACCUGGGAACUGCAUCUGUGAUUGCAUAGCUAGAGUACGGUAGAGGGGGAUGGAAUUCCGCGUGUAGCAGUGAAAUGCGUAGAUAUGCGGAGGAACACCGAUGGCGAAGGCAAUCCCCUGGACCUGUACUGACGCUCAUGCA